UACGGAGGGUGCAAGCGUUAAUCGGAAUUACUGGGCGUAAAGCGUACGUAGGUGGUUUGUUAAGCCAGCUGUGAAAUCCCCGGGCUCAACCUGGGUACUGCAGUUGGAACUGGCAAGCUAGAGUAGGGUAGAGGGGUGUGGAAUUCCAGGUGUAGCGGUGAAAUGCGUAGAUAUCUGGAGGAACAUCAGUGGCGAAGGCGACACCCUGGACUCAUACUGACACUGAGGUACGAAAGCAAGGGGAUCAAAC
Molecule: ribosomal RNA, 250 nt
Filed under: uncultured bacterium
Lineage: Bacteria
Description: partial 16S ribosomal RNA
Rfam family: Bacterial small subunit ribosomal RNA
Source: RNAcentral